Ictalurus punctatus (channel catfish) is the source of this 1346-nucleotide long non-coding RNA. RefSeq lists it as uncharacterized. NCBI's taxonomy places the organism in Eukaryota, Metazoa, Chordata, Actinopteri, Siluriformes, Ictaluridae. The transcript is spliced from 3 exons. The record is from RefSeq and is a predicted model, not a curated record.
CUAUAAGGUCUCUAUAAAAAGCGCACAGUAGAUGGCAAGAUCGUACAAGAGCCGCUAGUUUCCACGAGGAAAAGGAGACGAGGGUGGACAGUGGCCCAUAUGGAGACAUUUAGUUUUUCACAGCAAAGAAGGUGGAAAGAGGGAGAGAGAGGGAGGGAGAGCCAUAAAGAGGGGAGACAGAGAAGGUGGUGGGUGUGUCUCACUCCUUCCCCUGUAGUAUGCCAUGGGUGGGUGUUUCUAGCUACUGCAUAGUAUGGGUUCUCUCCAUCAUCUACAAAAGCCUUGGGAUUAUCUAUACUGUCUGCAGGCAUGCACACACUGGUAUAUAAAGUCGACUGUGUCCAGCUCUUGAUUAGACUAUAGAGUGCCCAGACUGUCUUUGUGCAUACAAUAAACCAUCUCUUUGAUUGCGCCCUGGCUCCUGGUCUCCUGAUUCUUCAGUCAUUUUACUUCUGGUAAAGCUGUAGUAUUUUGAUCAUCCAGAAAACCUUUACAACAGAGCACAGAACCUUAACCAUUGAUCUACCACUGUCUAAUAACAAACAAAUGGUUACUUUUCAAAUGUCCUAAAGUUAUACAUUAAGCAAUAAAGAAGAAUGAUGAUUUCCUUGGCUCCAUCCUGAUUUCUUCUGUUUUUGUGUACAUCUCAUCUACCACCCCAAUUCUGAAAAAGUUGGGACAGUAUGGAAAACAAACAAACAAAAAGAAUAAUUUGAAAAUUCUAUUCACCCUGUACUAUAUUGAAAACACAUUAUUAACACAUUAUCAUAUGUUUUACUUUGUGAAUUUAAUUUAUUUUUGAAAAUAUACAGUCAUUUCAAAUCUCAUGAAAGUCUCCAAAAAAGUUGGGACAGUCGACUGUUCCAUAAAACUUAAGCGUUGACACUGAAGACACCAGCUGGUUAAGUUGAGCAAGCGGAAUUUUCCCCCAUUCAUUCAUGCAUUUCUUCAGCUGCACAACUGUACAUUGCCUUCGUUGCUUCAUUUUGUGCUUCAUAAUGCGGCACACAUUCUCAAUCAGAGACAGGUCAGGACUGCAGGCAGGCCAUGCUAGCACCCACAUUCUGCUUAUGCAACCAUGUGCUUGUAAUCCGGGCAGAAUGUGGUUUGGCGUUGUCCUGCCUGAAAAGACAACGGCUGGAUGGCAGUAUAUUUUGCUCCAAAAUGUGUACAUAUCUUUCUGCAUUAAUGGUGGACAGUGUUGAUGUUUAGCUUCUGCUUUGCAUAAAGCCUUAACGUGCAACUGUGGAUGCAGCAGCGGAUGGUGUUGCCUGACAAAGGAUUCCUGAGCCCUUGUCAGGAUAUCCAUUACAGACUCAUGACAGUUUUUAAGACAGUGACGUCUG